AUUUGAUCGAUCUUCAUUCUGAUAAAAGUGAAAAUCAAAAUGAAGACUGUUCAAAAUGA
RNAcentral lists this microRNA precursor (59 nucleotides) under Ascaris suum (pig roundworm). RNAcentral describes it as "Asu-Novel-3_pre stem-loop". Lineage: Eukaryota; Metazoa; Nematoda; Chromadorea; Rhabditida; Ascarididae. The record is from RNAcentral.